AGGCAAAAUAAGUGAUAUGGAGCAAACCCUAAAAAACGGUACUCAGUUCGGAUUGAAGGCUGAAAUUCGCCUUCAUGAAGCUGGAAUUGCUAGUAAUGGCAGGUCAGCAUACUGCCGUGAAUACGUUCCCGGGCCUUGUACACACCGCCCGUCACACCAUGAGAGUUGGGAAUACCCGAAGCCUGUGAGCUAACUGUAAGGAGGCAGCAGUCGAAGGUAGAAUCAAUGAUUGGGGUAAAGUCGUAACAAGGUAUC
RNAcentral lists this ribosomal RNA (255 nucleotides) under uncultured bacterium. RNAcentral's name for it is "partial 16S ribosomal RNA". It matches the Rfam family "Bacterial small subunit ribosomal RNA", at positions 1247 to 1500 of the family's 1533-position model. The record is from RNAcentral.